RNAcentral lists this ribosomal RNA (254 nucleotides) under uncultured bacterium. RNAcentral describes it as "partial 16S ribosomal RNA". It matches the Rfam family "Bacterial small subunit ribosomal RNA", at positions 524 to 776 of the family's 1533-position model. The record is from RNAcentral.
UACGUAGGGGGCGAGCGUUGUCCGGAUUUAUUGGGCGUAAAGAGCUCGUAGGCGGUUCGAUAAGUCGGACGUGAAAUCUCCACGCUUAACGUGGAGGGGCCGUUCGAUACUGUCGUGACUCGAGUCCGGUAGGGGAGUGUGGAAUUCCCGGUGUAGCGGUGAAAUGCGCAGAGAUCGGGAGGAACACCCGUAGCGAAGGCGGCACUCUGGGCCGGUACUGACGCUGAGGAGCGAAAGCGUGGGGAGCAAACAGG